This is a long non-coding RNA of Patella vulgata (common limpet), 349 nucleotides long. RefSeq lists it as uncharacterized. The record is from RefSeq and is a predicted model, not a curated record. The transcript is spliced from 4 exons. Lineage: Eukaryota; Metazoa; Mollusca; Gastropoda; Patellidae.
ACCCAACCAAAAUAUACCGAUGGUCGAAAUAAUGAAAACUUUCGAAAUGAUGUAGAAAGAAGGAAUGAAGAUUUGAACAUGCAAUCACAAAUUUCAUUGUUUGAAGAAAGUUCCCAGAGACUAGAUUACAGAAGAAGAUCUGGUGGAUCAAAAGAUGUUUCAAUAUGUAAAACACCUGCUGGGUAUAAAUAUAAAAAAUCUUCAGAUGAUUUCAAUACACCUGCUCCACUCACAUUACCAGGCAACUUACACAAGCUGAGAUCAAUUGAAGAAAUUCGUAUCCUUUAUUGAAGCUUGGAAAUAAGACACCUGUUACAAAUAUUAUCUAGCACAAAUGCAGUCUUUGUCU